CGGCCGAGCGGGUCCGUCGGGAAAUCCGCGUGCUCAACGCGCGGGCGUCCGGCGGAAACCACUCGGCUUGGGGCCGGAGGACUCGAGGGGUACGUCCGGGGUAGGAGUGAAAUCCCGUAAUCCUGGACGGACCGCCGAUGGCGAAAGCACCUCGAGAGGACGGACCCGACGGUGAGGGACGAAAGCCAGGGUCUCGAACCGGAUUAGAUACCCGGGUAGUCCUGGCCGUAAACGAUGUUCGCUAGGUGUGGCGUCGACUACGAGUCGGCGCUGUGCCGCAGGGAAGCCGCUAAGCGAACCGCCUGGGAA
This 309-nucleotide ribosomal RNA is filed under the name uncultured archaeon. Its description in RNAcentral is "bacterial SSU rRNA". It matches the Rfam family "Archaeal small subunit ribosomal RNA", at positions 526 to 834 of the family's 1478-position model. The record is from RNAcentral.